Halichondria panicea is the source of this 3285-nucleotide long non-coding RNA. RefSeq lists it as uncharacterized. The transcript is spliced from 3 exons. The record is from RefSeq and is a predicted model, not a curated record. Lineage: Eukaryota; Metazoa; Porifera; Demospongiae; Suberitida; Halichondriidae.
UAUAUAUAUAAUGGUCUCAGAAUUAGAGACAGUCUGCACAGAACACAGUGGCGUAGCCAGAGGGGUGCAGAGGGUGCUCCAGCACCCCCCUCUAGCCUCAGACUCUGCUCCACAAGUUCCUUAGCUAAGCUACAUGUAGCUAGCUAGCUGAUAUGAGAAAACUAGAGCUCUAUGUUGCGAUCAACUCAAAACUCCACCUCCAACUAGCUAGCUCCACCUCCAAAUUUCAUUCCAGCCAGUGCACAUGCGCAAAGCCACGUGGGCUGAGCAGACCAAGGUCCCCCACAGAGUUGCAGACUAUUCAGCAGCUAUCACCAUCAUCAUCAUGUCACUCUUUCAGUUGAGCCCAGUUCACAGAGCAGCACUGCAAAACUGCAAGUGGCUUGCCACCCUGUCCUGCUAAUUCACAAGCAGAACCUGGUUAGCAGCUGCAUGAUUUAAUUGUCACAACUCAAAACAAUGCAUUUUUAUAGGACAUAAUUCAGAUGAAGAUGUGGCUUAACCACCAGUACCCUCAAAGCAGCAGUACCCUCAUUUCUUUAGCCAGAUUGCGUUAGAAUCAAUCUCAGAGCAUGUAACAACAAAAAUUUUCUGGGGGAGUGCCCCCAGACCCCCCGUUGGGGCGUAUUUUGCACCGCCGGAGCGCACUGGUAAUUCAGACAAUCCAUUCAUCCAGCACCCCCCUCUCUCAAAUCUUGGCUACGCCCCUGGAACACUGUUCUCAGACCGCCCGUCUCUUGAAUAUCAACACUGACCACAUACCACCCUAAUUUACCUACCCACCAACACACAUACCUUGCUUGACUGCCUCAGGGCGUGGGUUACAAUUUCCCUCGGUUCCUUCAGUCUUUUUCCUACUUCAUUCUCCUCCUGCGUGGGAACAAGUAUUGAUCUUACAGCCCUAUCCUUGGAGUAACCACAUGCGGUACCGGGCGCAUAUCUUCGUAGGUGUGGUAUAUUAUCAAAGUGCUUAGUAAUACCAUAGAUUGAAAAGGAAGGGGAUUGGAAACGACCAGGCCACCCUGUGUCAACGGGUGAAACACUCCGCGUUAUGAUUUCGCACUCGCGAAUAUUUUAGUUUUUAACGUACUCAGGUUGUAUUUCAACUGUUUCUAGCUCUCCUAUCCACUAUUGAUCGCUCAGAAGCUGGGAGGUACUCUAGAGAAGUAAGUUGACAAGCUCUAAGUCCCUUGUCUUUACUCUGUUUUUACGUUUAGCUUGAAAUACUCCAUGUCAACUUUUCUCUUUCCCUGCUGUGAAGCCGAAACAGCAAAGGACAUUGCUUGACUUGGUUAUUAUGUAUCUAAGUGCUAUAUAGGAUGGUUUCAUGCUAUGGAUAAGCUGUACUGUUCACAAACGUUUGCAGUAUAGUCCUUCAAACUGCUUUAGUAUACUUUUAGAGACACCACGGGCCUUGACCUCCCACGACUUCAUAGUAGAUCUAAGAGCUAUUCCUUCUUGUAUAGCAUUUAUUUGUUUAGUGAUAGUGGCUGCAUUGCUUAGUCUACCUUUUAGAGCUAGAUUCUCUAACUUUUUAGAAUAAUCAACAUCAAUUUCACCAUUUCUAUGUACAACACAUUGUAUGGCAGCAAGACAGGUAAUGAGCAUGCUGACAUAAAUAUAAUCCUUUGAAGUUUUAGCCACACCCUAUAACGCGGAGUGUUUUCACGCAAACAUUUCGUUUCCAAUCCCCUUCCUUUUCAAUCUAUGGUAAUACGUGUGCUUCUGAGUCCUGACAUAAUUUUACCUGUCAAUAAGGAAAACACCACAUCUUUAGGUCACCAAUUUGUGGACAAUAAUAUUGUAGUUUUCUGGAGUUACAAAAAAAACCUUUUUAGCUAUAAAAUAUAGAUUCAUACCUUCGGUUCACAAUACCGUACAGCGGGAAAUGUUCGCUAUUUGGCUCCAAAGCCCUCAGCAUAAAUUUUCGUGGGUUCUAAUAUUCGUGUUUCAAUGCCAGGAAACCACACCCACCAGUGUGUGAAAUACCGGUGCGUAGGAGUUUAUUCCAGUUUUAAUUUUCGCGUCUUCUGUCUCCCUCCAAAAAACGCGUGAAAAUUUCCCGCUGUACGGUAAGUCUACAACAAUCUGAAGAACUGUCGAAGAACCUAUAUCAUGCUUCAGGCAAUGGCCGCGAACCACAUCAACCCGGUACUAAUCACUAUACGAAAAAGCUUUGAGCAGGCAUGCAUGCAACUGGAUGCCAGCUGACUUAUAUAUAUAUACCUUAAGGUGACAUAUUUUCACAGGUAGAUUUGUUUGCGUUUUUACAGUUUUGUACAUUUUGCGGUAUAAUAUUUUGCGAAAUGUCGAUCUGGAUACAUUAAACAAGAGGGCGGCCAAUUAUUUGCGAGUAUUAAUUUUUGUGAUUUUACUCUCAUUCGCAGAAAUAGCAGAAAUUAAUACACGCGAAAAUAUGUAGGUAAACAUACACACAAGUUGAAUACUGGCAUCUUUUGCAUGGUUGGUCAUGAUCAAUUAAUUGGAGGUGAUCUGUAAACAUUAUAUGCAACAUCCACUAAUAUCUGUAAGAGGGUGACUAUUCAAUUUAAGUGCUAAGCGUUUAAUUUUCUUGCUGCCAGAGGUUCAUUGGCCUUGGAAAACAUGAAGAUUUGGCAAACUGAUGUUGUUGUUGAAGAAGGUAAAUAGUCUAGUCUAUAGUAUAAAAGUAAGUAGUAUAAUAUAGUAUACAGUAAUGUGACUUUAUCAACCUACGAGUGCUUUUUAACAUUAACAUUUCAUUUUACAUGGAUAAAGUAUAAACGAAGUGAAGUGUUGAAAGUCUGUAGGGCCAGGGAACACCUAGUGGGUUCGAGUAUCGUCCAAGCACCUCCUGAAGAACGGAAAUUGAUUGUACUACUAUUGUCGCUUUGAAGGACUACCGUCGCUUGUUGACAGUCUUCCUGGCAUCAACCUAUGUAUAUAGAAAAUAAUCAAUUUUGCCAACUUUCUACAAUGCACUGCUGUCUAUUUAUAUGCAAGAAAGCAAGGAAAACUCUUUGGAAGAGUUCACUGGAGUAAUGCUCACUGUAGCUAACCUGGAGCUGUAUAGACAUAGCCUUUUACUGUACCUACAGACCUACCUAAGCAUUAUUUAAAUGUCAGCCAUAAUCAUAAAUUUUUAUUUUUGUCUUUUUGAUUCUGGUAAAGAAGAAAACCCACCAGGAAUGUAUUCCCCUCCCUUCUGUGUAUUUUUUUAGUGUUCACGGUGUGUAUGAAUGGGUUCUGAGCGCUUUUGCGCAAGAGAAAAAAACAGCUCGUUACGAAUGAAAUUUUCGGGGUCAA